CGCGGGAUGGAGCAGUUCGGUAGCUCGUCGGGCUCAUAACCCGAAGGUGGGUGGUUCAAAUCCGCCUCCCGCAA
RNAcentral lists this transfer RNA (74 nucleotides) under Staphylococcus aureus. Its description in RNAcentral is "tRNA-Met". It matches the Rfam family "tRNA". From Rfam's summary of the family: Transfer RNA (tRNA) molecules are approximately 80 nucleotides in length. Lineage: Bacteria; Bacillati; Bacillota; Bacilli; Caryophanales; Staphylococcaceae. The record is from RNAcentral.